RNAcentral lists this ribosomal RNA (253 nucleotides) under uncultured bacterium. RNAcentral describes it as "partial 16S ribosomal RNA". It matches the Rfam family "Bacterial small subunit ribosomal RNA", at positions 524 to 776 of the family's 1533-position model. The record is from RNAcentral.
UACGUAGGGGGCAAGCGUUGUCCGGAAUCAUUGGGCGUAAAGAGCGUGUAGGCGGUCCGGUCAGUCGGUUGUGAAAGUCAAGGGCUCAACCCUUGAAUGCCGGCCGAUACUGCCGGGCUAGAGUCCGGAAGAGGUGAGUGGAAUUCCUGGUGUAGCGGUGAAAUGCGCAGAUAUCAGGAGGAACACCGGUGGCGAAGGCGGGUCUCUGGGCCGAUACUGACGCUGAGGCGCGACAGCGUGGGGAGCAAACAGG